This 591-nucleotide long non-coding RNA is filed under the name Struthio camelus australis. Its description in RNAcentral is "lncRNA (ENSSCUG00000004840.1)". The record is from RNAcentral. Lineage: Eukaryota; Metazoa; Chordata; Aves; Struthioniformes; Struthionidae.
GUUCUGUAACACCGAUCAUACUUGUUACCCUUCUCUGAGUCUUUCACAACCUAGCUAUACUCUUUCUGAGAAGGGGAACCAGACCUGCACAGAAUGCGUGAUGGGACACACGCUGAGGCACCAGGGAGGAGCUGGAGAAUGAAUCAGUCAAGUUUGUGUGUACAAAAGGCAUUCUUUAAAGUCUUUGCUAUAGCAGACCACGCAGUGUCUGUUACCAUGAAGUCUGACAUCAAUAUCACCUCUUCUUUGAGCCCGUGCCUCAUUUUCAAAAAUACAAAGGCACAAAUACAUAUGCUCCUAAUUUAAAGACCUCCGGAAGUAGAGCAUCACUCCGGCCAAGGAAAGGCUUGCAAAAAGGCCAUGCAAUGAAUUAGUCAAAGUAGAACUGGAAAGACUGAUCUCAGUUUCCUGACCUUUUCACUCUUUUAUAUUCUUUCAAUAGUUUGGAAGUGGAUUGUAGUAUUCUUAACUGCGUUUGUACCUUCUUAAAUCUAUUUAUAACAAUAUAUUCAACAACAACCAAGCACUUUCACCCUGCAAAAUGCAACAGAUUUGAAUAAACUACGGAAACUUUGUAAUGUGUUAUCUGAU